RNAcentral lists this microRNA (23 nucleotides) under Strongyloides ratti. RNAcentral describes it as "str-miR-8367-3p". The record is from miRBase by way of RNAcentral. Lineage: Eukaryota; Metazoa; Nematoda; Chromadorea; Rhabditida; Strongyloididae.
UAACCGGAUAUAUUUGACUACAG